GAUGAAGAACGUAGCGAAAUGCGAUAAGUAAUGUGAAUUGCAGAAUUCCGUGAAUCAUCGAAUCUUUGAACGCACAUUGCGCCCCCUGGUAUUCCGGGGGGCAUGCCUGUCCGAGCGUCAUUGCAACCAUCAAGCACGGCUUGUGUGUUGGGCCUCCGUCCUCCUCCCGGGGGACGGGCCCGAAAGGCAGCGGCGGCACCGCGUCCGGUCCUCGAGCGUAUGGGGCUUCGUCACCCGCUCUGGUAGGCCCGGCCGGCGCUUGCCGACACAUCAAUCUUUUUUCCAGGUUGACCUCGGAUCAGGUAGGGAUACCCGCUGAACUUAAGCAUAUCAAUAAGCGGAGGA
RNAcentral lists this unclassified non-coding RNA (345 nucleotides) under soil metagenome. RNAcentral describes it as "partial contains 5.8S ribosomal RNA, internal transcribed spacer 2, and large subunit ribosomal RNA". The stretch from base 1 to 120 matches the Rfam family "5.8S ribosomal RNA", at positions 35 to 154 of the family's 154-position model. The record is from RNAcentral.